Molecule: ribosomal RNA, 468 nt
Filed under: uncultured bacterium
Lineage: Bacteria
Description: partial 16S ribosomal RNA
Rfam family: Bacterial small subunit ribosomal RNA
Source: RNAcentral
GACGAACGCUGGCGGCGUGCUUAACACAUGCAAGUCGAACGGAAAGGCCCUGCUUUUGUGGGGUGCUCGAGUGGCGAACGGGUGAGUAACACGUGAGUAACCUGCCCUUGACUUUGGGAUAACUUCAGGAAACUGGGGCUAAUACCGGAUAGGAGCUCCUGCUGCAUGGUGGGGGUUGGAAAGUUUCGGCGGUUGGGGAUGGACUCGCGGCUUAUCCGCUUGUUGGUGGGGUAGUGGCUUACCAAGGCUUUGACGGGUAGCCGGCCUGGGAGGGUGACCGGCCACAUUGGGACUGAGAGACGGCCCAGACUCCUACGGGAGGCAGCAGUGGGGAAUAUUGCACAAUGGGCGGAAGCCUGAUGCAGCAACGCCGCGUGCGGGAUGACGGCCUUCGGGUUGUAAACCGCUUUCGCCUGUGACGAAGCGUGAGUGACGGUAAUGGGUAAAGAAGCACCGGCUAACUACGUG